Pogoniulus pusillus (Red-fronted tinkerbird) is the source of this 629-nucleotide long non-coding RNA. RefSeq lists it as uncharacterized. Lineage: Eukaryota; Metazoa; Chordata; Aves; Piciformes; Lybiidae. The transcript has 3 exons. The record is from RefSeq and is a predicted model, not a curated record.
CGGCGGGGGUACCCGCUGCUCGGCUGCCGGCAGCUGGGAAAGCAGCAGCGGUCCUGCCGCCCCGGGAGCUUUGGCGGACUCGGAGCAAGUAAGAGCGCACCAGGAGGUUUCAGAGCCCAGCAGUGUAAGCACCAGCGUGUGCAGAGGUAGGCCGUGGCUCCAGGCGCCUCAGCAGACUCCGUGAGGAGCACGGCUCGCUGCUCUGAGGUACUGCCACAGGCAUUUCAGCACUAGAUGAACCGUGGACUCUCGCUAAUCAAGAAAUCCUUAAUCGCCUAGAAGCAAUUAAAUAACUAAAGCCACCUACAGCAAAUACUUAUAUUUACUCAACAUCAAAGGCAGAACAACACAAAGUGUGGAGUCUUAGAGUGGGGGGGAGAAACGGUUGAUCCUGCAAAACUAGGAGAGUGAGGAGGAUUUGCAACUGCAUGGUGUGGUGAGGUCUGCUCACCUGGAUUCCAGAGGUGCACAACAACAAGACAAGCAGUGCUGGGUCUGAUGCCAGAUGUCAUUCUGCAAAGGAGGUUCCCACCUGAAUCAGCUUUAGGAGUUCACACAAAAAGUGUUUACACUGGGACACGUUCUCUGGCUGCUGUGAGGUACAGCAACUCUCUCUGAUUCCACUGGGA